AACGAACGCUGGCGGCAGGCUUAACACAUGCAAGUCGAACGCCCCGCAAGGGGAGUGGCAGACGGGUGAGUAACGCGUGGGAAUCUACCCAAUACUACGGAAUAGCUCCGGGAAACUGGAAUUAAUACCGUAUGUGCCCUACGGGGGAAAGAUUUAUCGGUAUUGGAUGAGCCCGCGUUGGAUUAGCUAGUUGGUGGGGUAAAAGCCUACCAAGGCGACGAUCCAUAGCUGGUCUGAGAGGAUGAUCAGCCACACUGGGACUGAGACACGGCCCAGACUCCUACGGGAGGCAGCAGUGGGGAAUAUUGGACAAUGGGCGAAAGCCUGAUCCAGCCAUGCCGCGUGAGUGAUGAAGGCCUUAGGGUUGUAAAGCUCUUUUAGUGGGGACGAUAAUGACGGUACCCACAGAAAAAGCCCCGGCUAACUUCGUG
RNAcentral lists this ribosomal RNA (431 nucleotides) under uncultured bacterium. RNAcentral's name for it is "bacterial SSU rRNA". It matches the Rfam family "Bacterial small subunit ribosomal RNA", at positions 29 to 507 of the family's 1533-position model. The record is from RNAcentral.